AACGCACAUUGCGCCCCUUGGUAUUCCGGGGGGCAUGCCUGUUCGAGCGUCAUUAUCACCCCUCAAGCUCAGCUUGGUGUUGGGGCCUGCCGUCACAGGCAGCCCCUAAAAGCAGUGGCGGUGCCGUCAGGCUCUAAGCGUAGUAAUACUCCUCGCUAUAGGGUCCUGGUGGUGUCCUGCCAAAACCCCCCAAUUUUUCAUGAUUGACCUCGGAUCAGGUAGGGAUACCCGCUGAACUUAA
This 241-nucleotide unclassified non-coding RNA is filed under the name Vishniacozyma sp. Its description in RNAcentral is "partial contains 5.8S ribosomal RNA, internal transcribed spacer 2, and large subunit ribosomal RNA". RNAcentral also lists the same sequence under 1 other name. Lineage: Eukaryota; Fungi; Basidiomycota; Tremellomycetes; Tremellales; Bulleribasidiaceae. The record is from RNAcentral.